This 365-nucleotide non-coding RNA is filed under the name Anisakis simplex (herring worm). RNAcentral describes it as "Bacterial large subunit ribosomal RNA". It matches the Rfam family "Bacterial large subunit ribosomal RNA", at positions 2564 to 2925 of the family's 2925-position model. Lineage: Eukaryota; Metazoa; Nematoda; Chromadorea; Rhabditida; Anisakidae. The record is from Rfam by way of RNAcentral.
CCCAAGGGUAUGGCUGUUCGCCAUUUAAAGUGGUACGCGAGCUGGGUUCAGAACGUCGUGAGACAGUUCGGUCCCUAUCUGCCAUGGGCGUUGGAGAUUUGAGAGGGGCUGCUCCUAGUACGAGAGGACCGGAGUGGACGAACCUCUGGUGUUCCGGUUGUCACGCCAGUGGCAUUGCCGGGUAGCUAUGUUCGGAAGCGAUAACCGCUGAAAGCAUCUAAGCGGGAAGCGCGCCUCAAGAUGAGAUCUCCCGGGGCACAAGCCCCCUGAAGGAACCAUAUAGACUAUGUGGUUGAUAGGUCAGGUGUGUAAGUACAGCAAUGUAUUGAGCUAACUGAUACUAAUGAUCCGUGUGGCUUGACCAU